GACGAACGCUGGCGGCGUGCUUAACACAUGCAAGUCGAACGGAAAGGCCUCAGCUUGCUGGGGUACUCGAGUGGCGAACGGGUGAGUAACACGUGGGUGAUCUGCCUUGCACUCUGGGAUAAGCUUGGGAAACUGGGUCUAAUACCGGAUAUGAGCUGCCUUUAGUGUGGUGGUUGGAAAGUUUUUUCGGCGCAAGAUGAGCUCGCGGCCUAUCAGCUUGUUGGUGGGGUAAUGGCCUACCAAGGCGUCGACGGGUAGCCGGCCUGAGAGGGUGUACGGCCACAUUGGGACUGAGAUACGGCCCAGACUCCUACGGGAGGCAGCAGUGGGGAAUAUUGCACAAUGGGCGGAAGCCUGAUGCAGCGACGCCGCGUGGGGGAUGACGGCCUUCGGGUUGUAAACUCCUUUCGACAGGGACGAAGCUUUUUGUGACGGUACCUGUAUAAGAAGCACCGGCUAACUACGUG
This 467-nucleotide ribosomal RNA is filed under the name uncultured bacterium. Its description in RNAcentral is "partial 16S ribosomal RNA". It matches the Rfam family "Bacterial small subunit ribosomal RNA", at positions 28 to 507 of the family's 1533-position model. The record is from RNAcentral.